GGUUAAGUGACUAAGCGUACACGGUGGAUGCCUGGGCAGUCAGAGGCGAUGAAGGACGUACUAACUUGCGAUAAGCGCAGAUAAGGCAGUAAGAGCCGUUUGAGUCUGCGAUUUCCGAAUGGGGAAACCCAACUGCAUAAGCAGUUACUGUUAACUGAAUACAUAGGUUAACAGAGCAAACCGGGGGAACUGAAACAUCUAAGUACCCCGAGGAGAAGAAAUCAACCGAGAUUCCGGUAGUAGCGGCGAGCGAACCUGGAUUAGCCCUUAAGCACUCGGUGAAGUAGGUGAACAAGCUGGAAAGCUUGGCGAUACAGGGUGAUAGCCCCGUAACCGACGCUUCAUCGAGCGUGAAAUCGAGUAGGGCGGGACACGUGAUAUCCUGUCUGAAUAUGGGGGGACCAUCCUCCAAGGCUAAAUACUCCUGACUGACCGAUAGUGAACCAGUACCGUGAGGGAAAGGCGAAAAGAACCCCUGUGAGGGGAGUGAAAUAGAACCUGAAACCGUGUACGUACAAGCAGUAGGAGCACCUUCGUGGUGUGACUGCGUACCUUUUGUAUAAUGGGUCAGCGACUUAUAUUCAGUGGCAAGGUUAACCGUAUAGGGGAGCCGUAGCGAAAGCGAGUCUUAACUGGGCGCUCAGUCUCUGGAUAUAGACCCGAAACCGGGUGAUCUAGCCAUGGGCAGGUUGAAGGUUGAGUAACAUCAACUGGAGGACCGAACCGACUAAUGUUGAAAAAUUAGCGGAUGACUUGUGGCUAGGGGUGAAAGGCCAAUCAAACUCGGAGAUAGCUGGUUCUCCCCGAAAGCUAUUUAGGUAGCGCCUCGGACGAAUACUACUGGGGGUAGAGCACUGUUAAGGCUAGGGGGUCAUCCCGACUUACCAACCCUUUGCAAACUCCGAAUACCAGUAAGUACUAUCCGGGAGACACACGGCGGGUGCUAACGUCCGUCGUGGAGAGGGAAACAACCCAGACCGCCAGCUAAGGUCCCAAAGUAUUGCUAAGUGGGAAACGAUGUGGGAAGGCUCAGACAGCUAGGAUGUUGGCUUAGAAGCAGCCAUCAUUUAAAGAAAGCGUAAUAGCUCACUAGUCGAGUCGGCCUGCGCGGAAGAUGUAACGGGGCUAAGCAAUACACCGAAGCUGCGGCAAUAUCUUUUAGAUAUUGGGUAGGGGAGCGUUCUGUAAGCCGUUGAAGGUGAAUCGUAAGGUUUGCUGGAGGUAUCAGAAGUGCGAAUGCUGACAUGAGUAACGACAAAGGGGGUGAAAAACCUCCUCGCCGGAAGACCAAGGGUUCCUGUCCAACGUUAAUCGGGGCAGGGUGAGUCGACCCCUAAGGUGAGGCCGAAAGGCGUAAUCGAUGGGAAACGGGUUAAUAUUCCCGUACUUCUGACUAUUGCGAUGGGGGGACGGAGAAGGCUAGGUGGGCCAGGCGACGGUUGUCCUG
This 1447-nucleotide ribosomal RNA is filed under the name Vibrio cholerae. RNAcentral's name for it is "partial 23S ribosomal RNA". It matches the Rfam family "Bacterial large subunit ribosomal RNA", at positions 1 to 1509 of the family's 2925-position model. Lineage: Bacteria; Pseudomonadati; Pseudomonadota; Gammaproteobacteria; Vibrionales; Vibrionaceae. The record is from RNAcentral.